AGUGAACGCUGGCGGUAGGCCUAACACAUGCAAGUCGAACGGCAGCACAGUAAGAGCUUGCUCUUACGGGUGGCGAGUGGCGGACGGGUGAGGAAUACAUCGGAAUCUACUUUUUCGUGGGGGAUAACGUAGGGAAACUUACGCUAAUACCGCAUACGACCUACGGGUGAAAGCAGGGGAUCUUCGGACCUUGCGCGAUUGAAUGAGCCGAUGUCGGAUUAGCUAGUUGGCGGGGUAAAGGCCCACCAAGGCGACGAUCCGUAGCUGGUCUGAGAGGAUGGUCAGCCACACUGGGACUGAGACACGGUCCCGACUCCUACGGGGGGGAGGAGUGGGGAAGAUUGGACAAUGGGGGCAAGCCUGAUCCAGGCAUACCGCGUGGGUGAAGAAGGCCUUCGGGUUGGAAAGCCCUUUUGUUGGGAAAGAAAAGCAGCAGGUUAAUACCCCGCUGUUCUGACGGUACCCAAAGAAUAAGCACCGGCUAGCUUCGUG
Molecule: ribosomal RNA, 492 nt
Filed under: uncultured bacterium
Lineage: Bacteria
Description: partial 16S ribosomal RNA
Rfam family: Bacterial small subunit ribosomal RNA
Source: RNAcentral